RNAcentral lists this ribosomal RNA (426 nucleotides) under uncultured bacterium. RNAcentral's name for it is "bacterial SSU rRNA". It matches the Rfam family "Bacterial small subunit ribosomal RNA", at positions 355 to 796 of the family's 1533-position model. The record is from RNAcentral.
CGAGGAAUUUUGCGCAAUGGGCGAAAGCCUGACGCAGCAACGCCGCGUGGGUGAGGAAGGCCUUCGGGUCGUAAAGCCCUUUUGUCGGGGACGAAGUGGUGACGGUACCCGACGAAGAAGCCACGGCUAACUACGUGCCAGCAGCCGCGGUAAUACGUAGGUGGCGAGCGUUGUCCGGAUUUAUUGGGCGUAAAGGGCGCGCAGGUGGUGCGGUAAGUCUGUCGUGAAAUCUCCCGGCUCAACUGGGAGGGUGCGGUGGAGACUGCCGGACUAGAGGCACUCAGAGGCCGGUGGAAUUCCCGGUGUAGUGGUGAAAUGCGUAGAGAUCGGGAGGAACACCAGUGGCGAAGGCGGCCGGCUGGGGGUGACCUGACGCUGAGGCGCGAAAGCGUGGGGAGCGAACCGGAUUAGAUACCCCCGUAGUCC